UCUAGAGCUAAUACAUGCUGAAAAUCCCGACUUCGGAAGGGAUGUGUUUAUUAGAUAAAAAACCAAUGCCCUUCGGGGCUCUUUGGUGAUUCAUGAUAACUUUACGGAUCGCAUAGCCUUGCGCUGGCGACGGUUCAUUCAAAUUUCUGCCCUAUCAACUUUCGAUGGUAAGGUAUUGGCUUACCAUGGUUUCAACGGGUAACGGGGAAUUAGGGUUCGAUUCCGGAGAGGGAGCCUGAGAAACGGCUACCACAUCCAAGGAAGGCAGCAGGCGCGCAAAUUACCCAAUCCCGACACGGGGAGGUAGUGACAAUAAAUACUGAUACAGGGCUCUUUUGGGUCUUGUAAUUGGAAUGAGUACAAUUUAAACCUCUUAACGAGGAACAAUUGGAGGGCAAGUCUGGUGCCAGCAGCCGCGGUAAUUCCAGCUCCAAUAGCGUAUAUUAAAGUUGUUGCAGUUAAAAAGCUCGUAGUUGAAACUUGGGCCUGGCUGGCGGGUCCGCCUCACCGCGUGCACUCGUCCGGCCGGGCCUUCCUUCUGAAGAACCUCAUGCCCUUCACUGGGCGUGUUGGGGAAUCAGGACUUUUACUUUGAAAAAAUUAGAGUGUUCAAAGCAGGCCUUUGCUCGAAUACGUUAGCAUGGAAUAAUAAAAUAGGGCGUGCGUUUCUAUUUUGUUGGUUUCUAGAGACGCCGCAAUGAUUAACAGGAACAGUCGGGGGCAUCAGUAUUCAGUUGUCAGAGGUGAAAUUCUUGGAUUUACUGAAGACUAACUACUGCGAAAGCAUUUGCCAAGGAUGUUUUCAUUAAUCAGUGAACGAAAGUUAGGGGAUCGAAGACGAUCAGAUACCGUCGUAGUCUUAACCGUAAACUAUGCCGACUAGGGAUCGGGCGAUGUUCUUUUUCUGACUCGCUCGGCACCUUACGAGAAAUCAAAGUUUU
Molecule: ribosomal RNA, 941 nt
Filed under: Curvularia spicifera
Lineage: Eukaryota; Fungi; Ascomycota; Dothideomycetes; Pleosporales; Pleosporaceae
Description: SSU rRNA
Rfam family: Eukaryotic small subunit ribosomal RNA
Source: RNAcentral